RNAcentral lists this ribosomal RNA (213 nucleotides) under Triticum aestivum (bread wheat). RNAcentral describes it as "partial small subunit ribosomal RNA". The record is from RNAcentral. Lineage: Eukaryota; Viridiplantae; Streptophyta; Magnoliopsida; Poales; Poaceae.
AUGAGAUGCCUAAGUUGGAAUUGCCGGGGGCUUGGGAACCCCGAGGCAGUUCGGGAGCUUUGCAAAAUUGUGAAGCAGGAAGGGCCCGCCCCGCUCUUUGUGUCGGAAAUGAAGAUUAGGGCAAAGAGGGUAGAUAUUUUGCAACACAGCUUGGGCUUUGCUGGCUGUUUUGCGGUGGAUAGUUCUGGACUCAGUGGUGGAAUUCGCCUUUUU